Molecule: long non-coding RNA, 1518 nt
Organism: Tupaia belangeri chinensis (Chinese tree shrew)
Lineage: Eukaryota; Metazoa; Chordata; Mammalia; Scandentia; Tupaiidae
Exons: 3
Source: RefSeq, a predicted model, not a curated record
GGGCGCCGGGCCUGGCGGCGCAGUCGCGAGCGCUCGCGGGCCGUCGGCGCCGCCUGGACGCGAAGUUGGCGUCUGUCUUUCCAGCACCGGCCCCUGGGCAGCAAGGACACCUGAGACACCAACAGGCACCCCACCCUCCUCAGAGUCAGUAAGGUGAAGGAGUAAGUAAGGUGUAACCAUCAAAGGAAAGAAAGACACUCCUCAGCUCCAGCCAGACUUCCACCCCUGAGGAAGGAGGGCUGUCACGCCUGGGCGCAAAGAACAACUGAGCUGGCCUGAGAGUGGAGGUGGAAGUCGCGGUCCGCCUGGGCGGCUGCGGCCGCAGAGUGAAGCCUUUUCCACCGCCCGGCCUCUCCGGAGCGCAGUGCCCGCGCGACCGCAUCCAGGGAGCCAGUGGGCACCUCAUUCGCCCCCUGGCGGCGCCGGGGACGUGCCGGACGCCGCCGCGGAAUGAGCUGUCCACAGCAGCACUGGGCGCUGAGCGAGAUCAUGGAAGAAUCUGGCAGCGGCUGGGAACCGGGGAGUCAGGCUGCCUUCGGAAGAAAAGGGGGGAGGGUGGAUGGAACAAAGCAACUGUAAGAUUUGGGGGUUUCCCGCAGAUCCACGUGCUCCACAUCCAGCGUGGGCUUCCCCACUACUGUGAUGACUGACAGACAGAGAGGAAUCUCAUCCCCCAGUGGUCCUCCCUCACCUCAUCCAAUCUCCUUGGACAUAAAAGCAUCCCUCCUUCUCGCCCUUUCUGGAAAAUAUCUCGCAUAUCUCCCCUCCUCCUGCAGUGACCUGACUAUGGUGGUUUGGGCCCAUCCAGUCACCCUGGGCCUGUCUGCCCCUUAAGAACUCUGAGGCUAUGCCAGGGGUUCUUAGGAGAGCAGCAACAGUCAAAAAGUGAUCCCUUGAGUGCCCUUGGUAGUCUGGCACUUCCCUAGGCCUCAUGGGAGGUGAAAGAUCUUGACCUCUGGAUGCUUUCAGUCUCAGGAGACAAGUACACUCAGGAAACAAUGGGCACAGCCAAUGGCCUAGGAGCAGGAGCCUCAGGGGAGGGCAUGGUGGGGAUGGGCCGGAGUGUGAACACUGGAGCUGUUAGAACUUGCUAAGCAGACAGGACUUAGGAAAAAGAAAGAAUAGUCCUUGCCCCAUCUGAGGUGAAAUAGAGGGCUGGUAUGGGAGGGCUGGGGCUCACCCCAGAGGCCCUGUGAAGGUCUGCUUCUGCAGUGGGAGAGCCAGAGGGAAGGGCAAGAGAUGGGGGCUAGAAGCCCCUUUGGGAGAAAGCAGCAGUAACCUGUUCUGCAGCACUGACUGAGGCAGGGGGAAGGCCACCACUUGCACUGUCCUGAGGGGCAUGUGUGCAGGUGAGGAAGCAGGGGUCCUGGGCCUCUUCAAGAGGUCGGGUCAUACACUGAACAAAAAAAAGAGAUUGGGCGAGACUUAGAUAUUUUUGUCAGGUAGUAGGAGAGGGAGGGGAGAGAAAGCAGCUCCAUACUAGAUCCAAAGGCAAAAAGAUUAAGAUGAGAGUUAUGG